UGUGUCCUUGUCGUGGAGGAUUGGUAA
Molecule: non-coding RNA, 27 nt
Filed under: Mus musculus (house mouse)
Lineage: Eukaryota; Metazoa; Chordata; Mammalia; Rodentia; Muridae
Source: RNAcentral